GACGAACGCUGGCGGCGUGCUUAACACAUGCAAGUCGAACGGAAAGGCCCUGCUUUUGUGGGGUGCUCGAGUGGCGAACGGGUGAGUAACACGUGAGUAACCUGCCCUUGACUUUGGGAUAACUUCAGGAAACUGGGGCUAAUACCGGAUAGGAGCUCCUGCUGCAUGGUGGGGGUUGGAAAGUUUCGGCGGUUGGGGAUGGACUCGCGGCUUAUCAGCUUGUUGGUGGGGUAGUGGCUUACCAAGGCUUUGACGGGUAGCCGGCCUGAGAGGGUGACCGGCGACAAUGGGACUGAGAGACGGCCCAGACUCCAACGGGAGGCAGCAGGGGGGAAUAUUGCACAAUGGGGGGAAGCCUGAUGCAGCAACGCCGCGUGCGGGAUGACGGCCUUCGGGUUGUAAACCGCUUUCGACUGUGACGAAGCGUGAGUGACGGUAAUGGGUAAAGAAGCACCGGCUAACUACGUG
RNAcentral lists this ribosomal RNA (468 nucleotides) under uncultured bacterium. Its description in RNAcentral is "partial 16S ribosomal RNA". It matches the Rfam family "Bacterial small subunit ribosomal RNA", at positions 28 to 507 of the family's 1533-position model. The record is from RNAcentral.